RNAcentral lists this unclassified non-coding RNA (89 nucleotides) under Pseudomonas corrugata. Lineage: Bacteria; Pseudomonadati; Pseudomonadota; Gammaproteobacteria; Pseudomonadales; Pseudomonadaceae. The record is from RNAcentral.
UGUGGGAGCGAGCCUGCUCGCGAUGGCGGUGUGCCAGUCAGUGAUGAGUUGACUGAUAGACCGCUAUCGCGAGCAGGCUCGCUCCCACA